This 481-nucleotide unclassified non-coding RNA is filed under the name Fusarium solani. RNAcentral describes it as "sequence contains ITS2, 28S rRNA gene". It matches the Rfam family "Eukaryotic large subunit ribosomal RNA", at positions 66 to 558 of the family's 3401-position model. Lineage: Eukaryota; Fungi; Ascomycota; Sordariomycetes; Hypocreales; Nectriaceae. The record is from RNAcentral.
CAACAGGGAUUGCCCCAGUAACGGCGAGUGAAGCGGCAACAGCUCAAAUUUGAAAUCUGGCUCUCGGGCCCGAGUUGUAAUUUGUAGAGGAUGCUUUUGGUGAGGUGCCUUCCGAGUUCCCUGGAACGGGACGCCACAGAGGGUGAGAGCCCCGUCUGGUUGGACACCGAGCCUCUGUAAAGCUCCUUCGACGAGUCGAGUAGUUUGGGAAUGCUGCUCUAAAUGGGAGGUAUAUGUCUUCUAAAGCUAAAUACCGGCCAGAGACCGAUAGCGCACAAGUAGAGUGAUCGAAAGAUGAAAAGAACUUUGAAAAGAGAGUUAAACAGUACGUGAAAUUGUUGAAAGGGAAGCGCUUGUGACCAGACUUGGGCUUGGUUGAUCAUCCGGGGUUCUCCCCGGUGCACUCUUCCGGCUCAGGCCAGCAUCAGUUCGCCCUGGGGGACAAAGGCAGCGGGAAUGUGGCUCUCUCCGGGGAGUGUUA